UGGGGAAUAUUGCACAAUGGGGGGAAACCCUGAUGCAGCAACGCCGCGUGAGUGAUGAAGGCCUUCGGGUUGUAAAGCUCUGUCUUCAGGGACGAUAAUGACGGUACCUGAGGAGGAAGCCACGGCUAACUACGUGCCAGCAGCCGCGGUAAUACGUAGGUGGCAAGCGUUGUCCGGAUUUACUGGGCGUAAAGGGAGCGUAGGCGGAUACUUAAGUGGGAUGUGAAAUACCCGGGCUCAACUCGGGUGCUGCAUUCCAAACUGGGUGUCUAGAGUGCAGGAGAGGAAAGUGGAAUUCCUAGUGUAGCGGUGAAAUGCGUAGAGAUUAGGAAGAACACCAGUGGCGAAGGCGACUUUCUGGACUGUAACUGACGCUGAGGCUCGAAAGCGUGGGGAGCAAACAGGAUUAGAUACCCUGGUAGUCCACGCCGUAAACGAUGGAUACUAGGUGUGGGAGGUAUCGACUCCUUCCGUGCCGUCGUUAACACAAUAAGUAUCCG
RNAcentral lists this ribosomal RNA (500 nucleotides) under uncultured Bacillota bacterium. RNAcentral describes it as "bacterial SSU rRNA". It matches the Rfam family "Bacterial small subunit ribosomal RNA", at positions 355 to 871 of the family's 1533-position model. Lineage: Bacteria; Bacillati; Bacillota. The record is from RNAcentral.